ACGGAAGAGUCAUAGACAAGUUGAGCUUCUCUCCCCUGUCUCAAAACCAUCGGCAAAAGAUCCGAAGAGGGAUGAAUACAAAAAAAGAAGUUAAACCUGAAGAGAAGAUAGAAGAGCCUCCGGUGAUCAUAGUGGUGUUAAAGGUCCACAUGCACUACGAAGCCUGCGUGCAAGAAAUUGGAAAAUGAAUACAAAGGAUUAAAGGAGUCGAAACAGGAGAUUCAAAUUUGAAGAACUCACUGGUAACAGUGAAGGGCAUCUUCAACCCACAAAAGCUGGUUGAGUAUGUGUACAAGAGAACAGGGAAGCACACAACGAUCUUGAAGCAAGAGCCAAAGAAGGCGAAGGAAGAGAAUGAAGAAAAGAAAGGCGAAGGUGAAGGUGAAGGUGAAAAGAAAGGCAAGGGAGGAGAUGG
This is a long non-coding RNA of Telopea speciosissima, 415 nucleotides long. RefSeq lists it as uncharacterized. The record is from RefSeq and is a predicted model, not a curated record. The transcript is spliced from 3 exons. NCBI's taxonomy places the organism in Eukaryota, Viridiplantae, Streptophyta, Magnoliopsida, Proteales, Proteaceae.